CAGCCGCCACGGUAAUACAGAGGGUGCAAGCGUUAAUCGGAAUUACUGGGCGUAAAGCGCGCGUAGGUGGUUUGUUAAGUUGGAUGUGAAAGCCCCGGGCUCAACCUGGGAACUGCAUCCAAAACUGGCAAGCUAGAGUACGGUAGAGGGUGGUGGAAUUUCCUGUGUAGCGGUGAAAUGCGUAGAUAUAGGAAGGAACACCAGUGGCGAAGGCGACCACCUGGACUGAUACUGACACUGAGGUGCGAAAGCGUGGGGAGCAAACAGGAUUAGAUACCCCGGUAGUCCCUGUCUCUAUACA
RNAcentral lists this ribosomal RNA (301 nucleotides) under uncultured bacterium. RNAcentral describes it as "partial 16S ribosomal RNA". It matches the Rfam family "Bacterial small subunit ribosomal RNA", at positions 509 to 808 of the family's 1533-position model. The record is from RNAcentral.